AGCAAGUUAACACAUGUUUGAUAAUGCUGAUAAGGGUGACAGGGCCUGUUGCACGCUCAACCAUUACUGGUGGAGUGGUGGACGAAGCCAGAAUCCGAAUCUGGAAAUUCCUACAAAACCAACACGUGCCGUGAUUGCAACAUGUGCAGCUUCUGCUGGACUAACUUAAUCUCGAUCUUAAACUCUUGAUGUAUCCCAUCCCCAUUACAAAGCUAUUUAUGAUUAGGCACUGGAUUCUAAUGACCAGGCUAUUCAACAUAUAUCAACUCGGUUCUAAUGGACUGCCAAUUUUGUUUUUCAGAUAUUGCCAGAAGGAAACAAUGCAAGUGAUGUUUUCUCCACACCCUUCAAGGACAUCACUUGAAUAGACGGACUAGGUAGCUAUAUAUAUUGAGAUGCAUGUACCAACUAGUUCAAUCUAAAAGUUUAAGUUGAUAGGGAAAGGUGUACAAUUCACUUAUACUCCAACACUCCCCCACUCCCCC
Molecule: long non-coding RNA, 485 nt
Filed under: Setaria viridis
Lineage: Eukaryota; Viridiplantae; Streptophyta; Magnoliopsida; Poales; Poaceae
Description: long non-coding RNA (SVIR_LNC001346)
Source: RNAcentral